UUUACUUCGACGAUAAAGCUUAUCGUGACCUCAGAACCACUUAGUUAAAAUUAACUCCCCAAACUGUCAAAAUGGGACGAUCUGUCAAAUGUAUCCAACGAGCAUGUUAUGCGAAUUGACGUUUAUCAGCUCGGUCACUUACUGCUAUAAAUGUAUAACUAACUUCAUACUCUAACGAGCCAGCAUGUUAAGAGCGAUAUAUAUCGAAAAUUACUGUCAUUUUAUUGAACCCUAACUGUCAAAUUAUCUCUAUCACAUUUCCAUGCUUCGCCCGCAGCAGGGCAAUUAUGGUCUGUCAUUAAAUAUAUCUCUAUCGUCUACCGAAAGUGGAAUUAUAUUGUAGCUCAAAGCAUACUAAAGUUAUAAAUCGGGGUUUAAUAAAAUGAACGCGUCGAUAGAUAAAUGAUAAGUGUGUGAGUGACCACUGUUGUCUUUUAUAAAAAUCCGUUCAAUAGCUGCCUUUAUUUCAUUGCGGGAUGUGUUUUGGAACAAUAAAAUGCACGGAUUUUUCAAAUUGACAGCUGUGACACCUGUCAAAGUUUGAUUUGACAUAUUGACAAAUGUCACAUACACCCGAAAAACAUAGAAGUCAAAGAUGAAAGUAAGUUGUGUGUUGUAAAAACUAAAGGAAUUCCACCAAAAAUGUUGAUGCAAGACGGACAAGCGGGCAGGAGAAUGAUAGUGAAAUAUUUAAGAGGAUACGUACCCGGGAGCACAAACGUUUACGAUAAUAUCGUUAUCUCUAUCGCUCUUCAAUAUUGGCGCGACAGAGCCAGACUGUGUUUCAAUCGGCGUCUAGCGACGGCGAAUUUCCUGUGAGCAAUUCAGUCAGGAUAUGCUGCAAACAUACCAAGGAGCCAACAAGGAAUGUUGCUAGGCUUGCCGCGAGAGAUGUGAAAUGCCAUGACACAAACCAAUUUUAAGUGGGCAUGAUAUAUACUCAACAACAGCGGGCACUACAAGGCUCUGGCAUAGAGUACCUAGAGCAUGGAAUGAGGCUACCAUUGCAUAGUUAAAUAUGAUGUGGCUCCUUCUUGUCAUACUUUCUACAGCUGCAGAAAAAGAAAAACAAUGUAACACUGAACCAGUGAGGUGUAAUUGAACUAAAUGCCAUAAAACCAACUUGUUUGAAAUAGGUCCAGAAAAGUU
Molecule: long non-coding RNA, 1149 nt
Organism: Leguminivora glycinivorella
Lineage: Eukaryota; Metazoa; Arthropoda; Insecta; Lepidoptera; Tortricidae
Exons: 3
Source: RefSeq, a predicted model, not a curated record